GAGGCCCAGGCAGGGCAGGUGUGGGCAGAGCUGCUGUGCAGGCAGAGAGAAGGUGGAGAGAGGCCACCCAGAGCGGGCCUGGCCAUGUGGAGUGCCCUGUGCGUGGGCUUCUUGCCCAUUGUAGACAUUUCAGAAAGUUCUGUCCCUCAAGUCAUUGUGAUAAAAUCAAAGAAACUGAAAGAAGGGGGAAGCUCUGGAAAAGCAGCUUGUUUGGCAAGGAACUUCCUUACAAAGAACAUCAGCUUGGAGAUGCCUUCUCAGGAGGUCGUAUAUGAGCAGAGCACAUCCAUUUGGACGUCAGAGGCAUUGUACAACACAAUUAAAGUGGUCAAUGUGACAAAAGACACAGAGGUGACCUGCACGGCCAAAUCCCACAACAGCACAAUUACAACACAGCCAGAAGAAGAGGCUGAAGAGCCGGUAACAGGAGCCAGUGACACGGUUUGCAACAGCACAGACCCCUCAGCACAAGACCCUGAAGGGCAGAGAGUGAACAUGCUGUCCAUGGCUGUGCUGGGUUUGAGAGUCCUGCUGGCAAAGAGCAUCGCCUUCAAUGUCCUCAUGAGUAUCAAGUUGUUUCUUUUCUGAGACAUGGGGAAUGAAGACAAGAGGAACCCAAAGAAGAUCAGGAAAGAACCUGAACCAGCAGCACAAGGGGUUUGACAAGCAGGGGCAGAGCUGCUGACAGAGACCACCCAGGACACAAGGCAGCCCCUUCCCCUGAAGACACUGAAUGCUGUUCACUCCUGCCUGGCCAGCUGAUUUACACUGAAGACCUUUAAGUGCUUUUGCUGUUUCCUCUCCUCUGCCAACUGAGGAGAGUAGAUUUAUCCUCAUCCUCCUGCUAAGUAGAUCUCCCCCCUCUUCUGGCAUUUGCACACAAGUCUCCAACCUGCUUCAAUAGCUCUGAAGACUCCAGUGCUCACUCUAGAUAGAUGGCCUUUGAAAAGCACCUUUCCCAGGCACGUUGUGUUACUGCCUGUGGAACUGGAGUAGCACUGCUGAGGGAAUUCAAGCCCUGUAGUCGGCAUUUGUUAAAUACAAUUCAUAACAAUAAGAACGAAUGGCAGAUGAGAAGAGCUUUGUAGGACCGGAAGUGAUUUAAUUCAUCCAGAUAAUGUUAAUUUGUUUAUUAAGACUCUAUUACAAAUUCCAAAUGAAUUGCAGCUGCAUUUUAGGUUCCUGUAGUAGUGAUAAAAAUAAAGUUGUGCUAGGCCACAA
Non-coding RNA from Taeniopygia guttata (zebra finch), 1221 nucleotides. The record is from the annotation of a RefSeq genome assembly. Lineage: Eukaryota; Metazoa; Chordata; Aves; Passeriformes; Estrildidae.